Girardinichthys multiradiatus is the source of this 2052-nucleotide long non-coding RNA. RefSeq lists it as uncharacterized. NCBI's taxonomy places the organism in Eukaryota, Metazoa, Chordata, Actinopteri, Cyprinodontiformes, Goodeidae. The transcript has 4 exons. The record is from RefSeq and is a predicted model, not a curated record.
UAAUUACUUUUAAUUAAAACAGAAAAUCAAUGUUGUUUUGAAAGCUAAAAACAAAAAUAAGCAAAUAAUAAAAAAUGUUAACUUAAUAUUUUUUAGCACAGAUUUAAGCUGAAAUUUAAAUUAGUACAGUACGGUACAUCACCUGAAUAUUUCUGAAAAGAUAAUUUAUUUCAGUAAAUCCUAAAAAUAUUUUUUUUAUGAUUAUAGUUUCCAGCCAAUGUGAAACCAAAAAUCAGUUUUGUAAGACCAAUUAAAAUUUUUCUAAUACAGAAAUAUUAUAGCCUAUGUGGGGAAGACUGUUGACUUGACAAAUGUCCAGAAAACAGUCAUCGACACUCUUAAGGAUGGUAAUCAACAAAAGGUCAACGAUACAGACGCUGGCUGUUGUGUCUAAGCAAGACGUGUACUUCCUUUAGCAACUCAAGGAGUGGAACCUGCUAUUGGAGCUGCUUGUCAUCUUCUAAACUCCUGUUUUUCAGUCUGUCCUGUGUUUCUGUUUCCUGUGUGGUUUGGUUCAUCCACAAAAGAAGGAUAGGUGAAGACUGUAGUGAACAAUUAGGUCUACAGAGAACAUCAUCAGUCCUGACCUUCCCUCCACCCAGGACUUGUGCAGGAUUAGAGUCAGGAAAAGGGGAGCUAACAUAUCUGCAGGCCCCACACAUCCUGGACACAAACUGUUUAGACUUUCACCUUUGGGUCAGUGCUACAGAGUGCUCCUUGUUUGUGUCACAAACUUGACAAAUAAAGCUGAUUCUUAUUUUCAUAUCAAUAGAAAGUUGACUGGAAAAAACAUGUUCAAAAGCAACAGGGAUAACUGAAGCCUUGCAUGGCCAGCGGCUGGAGUCAAGCAGUUACACACAGGCAUAUCCAGGACAUCGGCCACAACUGUCAGUCAUCUUUUAAGCCACUGCUGAACUAGAGAUGUCAGAAUCUUCUUACCUGGGCUAAGGUGAAAAAUGACUGUCUCUGCUGAUGAGCUUUGUGAGGAUGCUGAUUUAAUUUUUUUUGCAUAACUUGGCACCUGCCCACACUCCCAAAAGUACCUAUACCUGCUUUAAUCACUAUGGUAUCACUGUGCUGGGUUGACCACCGAACUGUCUUGGCCAAAACCUCAUAGAAAACCUGGAGUAUUGCCAACAGGAAGAUGAGAUACCAGAGCCAACAAUGCAGCUGAGCUGAAGGCCACUAUUAAAGCAACCUGUGAUUCCUUAAAAGAAAAUGUGUUUUUGUGUGACAUGUGGAAUCCAUGUUAAAAAUAUGUUUUCAUGCCUAAAAGGGAUUGAAAACAUCACUUAGUGAGUUUAUUACAAUUAAUUCAUAAAACAUCAUGUUGGUAGAUUAAUUUACAUUAAAUCCACCAAACUCAAAGAAGACUAAAGAAAGGUUCCCCGGAUUUGACUACAGAUCAUCAUUAAUGUAAGUUUAAAAUCUUGGUAAUUUAUUUUAGAUAAAUGUUCAACCUUUGUUCCUCAAAGUCUGCAUCUGAUUUAUUACUGUGAACAGAAACAUGGAGCCGCAAUCGCUGGAGUUUAGCUACUGAUGGAUGUUCUGAUAUUUCUCCCCUGAUCUGGUGGAUCAAUCAUCUUCAUAUUAAGGGGCAAGUGCCUUCAACAACCUCCGCCAGUGGCAAGAAGGAUUUGCCGAAAGACUUCAUCUGAUUAAGGGGUCAGUUCCUUCUGUCUUUGGAAACGGCAUCUACAGCAAAGCGCUUCUUUUCCUGUUUAGAAGAUAAGCAUAAGACAGAAGAGCUGCGCUGAAAGUUUCAAGAUGUCACCUCAUCACUGAAGAGGAAGUUGCAGAAGAGACAAGAGGAGUGUUUCGCUGAGCGAGCUGUAAAGGGCACGGAUUUAAGAGCUGAAAAGAUGGAUGAAAUAGAGGACGGACACAGGAAAGAGAAAGUGAAGGUUUGCUGAAAGUGAUGAUGUCCUCAAUGGCGCCAUCUUUCCCCUCCCUCACCAAAGGAGACCCCUGCCUCCUCUUCAGCUCUGCGAUCAGAUCCAUCUGAGGUGGUCUGAACAUGACUGAGACCUGGAAGAAGAAAUCAGGAUGAAC